RNAcentral lists this ribosomal RNA (471 nucleotides) under uncultured bacterium. RNAcentral's name for it is "SSU rRNA". It matches the Rfam family "Bacterial small subunit ribosomal RNA", at positions 26 to 518 of the family's 1533-position model. The record is from RNAcentral.
AGGAUGAACGCUGGCGGCGUGCCUAACACAUGCAAGUCGAACGUCCUGUCUCGCAAGAGGCAGGGAGUGGCGGACGGGUGAGUACCACGUGGGUCAUCUACCGUGAGGUGAGGAAUACCGGCGAGAAAUCGCCGACAAGACCGCAUAGGCUCGAUGCAAGUCGAGCAAAGCUCUUUCGAGAGAGGGAGCGCCACACGAGGAGCCUGCGCCCGAUUAGCUAGCUGGUGGAGUAACGGUUCACCAGGGCGACGAUCGGUAGCUGGUCUGAGAGGACGAUCAGCCACACUGGGAUUGAGAACGGCCCAGACUCCUACGGGGGGCAGCAGUGAGGAAUUUUCGUCAAUGGGGGCAACCCUGAACGAGCAACGCCGCGUGCAGGAAGAGGUUUCGGAUCGUAAACUGCUUUUCGUCGGGAAGAGAAUGGACGGUACCCGAGGAAUCAGCCCCGGCUAACUACGUGCCAGCAGCCGC